CGUCACCAUUCCAGGUAAAAUCAUCAGUGAGCCUCCGGUGAAGCGCUGGAGUUCGGUCCCGCUUUCUAUUCAAGUGUUUCGGUUUCCUUGGGUUGGUGAUGUCAUUUCCUGUUCUUUCUCUCAGAGGAUGGGAGAUGGAUUUGGAGCCAAUGUGUCCUCCCUGGUGUAGUUUGUGUAUGGAAUGAACUGCCAGAGGCUAUUAUACUCACAGUAUUUAAAAGUCACCUGCAUGGACACAUGAAUAGGAAGGGUCUGGAGGGAUAUGGGCAACAUGCUGGCAAAUGGAACUAGUCAGUUACGAUAUCUGGUCGGCCUGAAGGGUCUGUUUCCCUGCUGUACAACUCUGCGACUCUGUCUCUUUGUCUCCCCCUUCCCCUCUCUCAUUUGCUCCAGACCCACCCCCAACCACACACACAAUCUCUGUCUCUCCAUCUCUGUGUGUGUGCGCCUCACUCUCUGUCUGUCUGUGUCUCUCUCUCUCUCUCUCGCUGUGCACUUCUCUGUCUCUCUCCUUCUCUUUCACUGUCUCUUUGGUCUUUGUGUGUGUGUGCCCCUCUCUGUCUCUGCCUCCCUCUGUGUGUGCUUCUGCCUUUCUCUCUCUCCGUCGACCCCCCACCCACUCUGCGCCGCCCCUCCCCCCGCCUUUUCCUCCAUCUCUCUUACUCUCUAGCCGAGCCUCUCCACCCGCUCAGCAGGGAGCGUUGUGAGUUUCUUUCGAACAAAGUUUAAAGAUCUCUGUUUGAACCCAACCCAUCCGCAAUCAGACUGCAUUUCUAAUCCCCCUCUCUCUCUCUCUCUCACACUCACACACACACACAGUCUGUCUCUUUCUCCCUUUCAGUCAAUCCCCUUCCUCUCCUGGUCCUACUCACGCCUUUUCCCACCCCCCGACUCUGCCUCGGCGAUGAGUCCGCUGUCUGGAUCCCUUUACCCAGGAGUGGGCUGAGGACCCAGCGGUUCGGCAGCGGGGAUCAUCGCACCACGCGCCUGGACCCCUACAACCUCCUGUUCUCCAGCGGCCUCCAGCAUGACCACCGGGCUAGGAGCAGGCAUCCGGGCUGCCGGAGCGCUCGCUGCUCAGUGGCUCAGCCCUGCGCCGCCUUUGCCGGGAGCGGGGAUCCGAGGUGGGAGAAGGCCUCUUCGCCCGGCUCCUGGGCACAGCUACCUGCCUGAACAGCUGCCUGGCACCGAGCCUGCGCUCCCCGAGCACCCGGCCUAGGGUCCGCGACGCCUUCCGGGGCUGAGUAGCCGAAAACUAUCUCCUACUGCAAGUCUUUUCCAGUCCCAUGCUGAGUAUUGUUAUCCCAAUAGUUCUUUAAUGUCAGUGUGUGUGUAUUCCUGGGCGACUAUGCUCGUGUGGUCUACGGAGUUGUGGAGGUCACAGUUCUAGGACAGCCAUUUCAUAGGCCUCUGCUGCAGAAUCUACUCCGGAAGAGAGAGCCCAGAGAAUUGCCAAAGCUGUCUGCAAGCAGUCAAUUGACGUGAAGGAAAAUUGGGAGCAAUUGAAAACCCAUGCGAGCAACUGGCAGAACAAGGUGGAAAAGGCGUUAGAGAAACUUCAAGAACUGCAGAAAGCUCUGGAUGAUCUUGAGUCUCAUGUGAUAACAGCUGAGGGGGUCCACAUUGAUUGGCAACCUGUGAAUGACCUGUUUAUUGACGCAUUGCAGGAUCACAUGGAUAAAACCACAGACUAAAGGUGAAGUCUGACCACGCCAUUUGGCCACUCCUUAGAGAGACACAACUGGUUAUGAUUUAACCUGAAGAUCACCAUGCCUCGGGCAAGUAAAGGGGUUGAGGCGAAGAUCCUUUGUGGUUAAGGACUGCCUGCAAAAUCUGAGACUGGGUUUUGAAACACAUCAACCUUUGCUUGCGAGAGAUAAUGGUAACUGCAGAUGCUAGAGAAUGCGAGAUAACAAUGUGUGGAGCUGGAUGAACACAGCAGGCCAAGCAGCAUCUCAGGAGCACAAAAGUUGACAUUUCGGGCCUCGACCCUUCAUGCGAGAGAACGUAACGUUUUUAAAGAAGAAAUUGCCCCAGUCAAACAAGAAGUCAAAAUAUUAAAUGAUCUGGGAUGUCAGUUAUCUCCGCUUGAUGUCUCUUUCUCUCCAAAGAUUUCUCACCAGCUUGAUGACCUAAAUAUGAGGUUGAAAUUUAUACAGGUGAUUUAAACACCGUGCGUUUUUCUGCAUAUCGGCCAGCAAUGAAGAUCCGCCGACUCCAGAAAGCGCUCUGUUACCACAUCAGGUGAAGAUGUGUGUGAUUUCACCAAGGUGCUGAAAAAUAACUUCAGAUCAAAGAAAUACUUUGCCAAACAUCCUUGCUUGGGUUAUUUACCACUACAAACAGUCCUAGAAGACAACAUCAGGUGAAGAUGUGCGUGAUUUCACCAAGGAGCUGAAAAAUAACUUCAGAUCAAAGAAAUACUUUGCCAAACAUCCUCGCUUGGGUUAUUUACCACUACAAACAGUCCUAGAAGACAAGGAAAUAUUAGUGAUGCAAUGAAGAGUUUGAUGAUAAAAUAUAAUUACUGUUACGGUUUCCUCUUGGAGGAAAUAUUCUCAUCAAAUUGACUGGUCAAGGAAAUGGGACACUGACUGUGAGUACUUUGAGUGUUUAAGUGAUUCCUAAAAUGAAAAUUAUGACCUUGAUUUCUCUUGCAUGCAGAUAUGAAGAGACUAUUUUAAAAAUCCUCUCGGUUCGUGGUUCAGGCAUAAAGGUGUCACAUGUAUAUUUAUGUAUAUACAUGUACAUGUGUAAUCUGAAAAGAAAAUGACGAUAAAUCACUUGU
Molecule: RNA transcript, 2788 nt
Organism: Stegostoma tigrinum
Lineage: Eukaryota; Metazoa; Chordata; Chondrichthyes; Orectolobiformes; Stegostomatidae
Gene name: dystrophin-related protein 2-like
Exons: 10
Source: RefSeq, a predicted model, not a curated record